This 216-nucleotide ribosomal RNA is filed under the name Glomeromycotina sp. RNAcentral describes it as "partial small subunit ribosomal RNA". The stretch from base 47 to 216 matches the Rfam family "Eukaryotic small subunit ribosomal RNA", at positions 693 to 864 of the family's 1831-position model. The record is from RNAcentral. Lineage: Eukaryota; Fungi; Glomeromycota.
GGGUCAGUAGGUUGGUCGUGCCACCGGUACGUACUGGUCUCACUGGUUCCUCCUUCCUGAAGAACCGUAAUGCCAUUAAUUUGGUGUUGCGGGGAAACAGGACUGUUACUUUGAAAAAAUUAGAGUGUUUAAAGCAAGCUAACGCUUGAAUACAUUAGCAUGGAAUAAUGAAAUAGGACGAUCGAUCCUAUUUUGUUGGUUCCUAGGAUUGACGUA